RNAcentral lists this transfer RNA (77 nucleotides) under Brucella intermedia 229E. RNAcentral describes it as "Ochrobactrum intermedium 229E tRNA". It matches the Rfam family "tRNA". From Rfam's summary of the family: Transfer RNA (tRNA) molecules are approximately 80 nucleotides in length. Their secondary structure includes four short double-helical elements and three loops (D, anti-codon, and T loops). Lineage: Bacteria; Pseudomonadati; Pseudomonadota; Alphaproteobacteria; Hyphomicrobiales; Brucellaceae. The record is from Rfam by way of RNAcentral.
GGCGGAGUAGCUCAGUAGGUUAGAGCAGAGGAAUCAUAAUCCUUGUGUCGGGGGGGGUUCGAAUCCCUCCUCCGCUA